CUUUUUAAAAAAAAUAUAUCUUAACCAAUUCACGCUCAAUUCUCACAUCUCUCAAAAACUCCCUUUUCUCUCAUAUCUCACUUCCUCUCCCUUUCUCUCUUAUACAAUUUGAGAUACAGUCCCUUGAAAUUCUCUCUCAUACGGCCUCACCGGCGAACCUAAAGACGUUCGUGACUCGGCAAUCGAACCUCCUGCUGGUUGCUUCGUGUCGGUGUUGUGAGUUGUGACUCAGAUCUUCUACAUGGCUCACUACCUCACCUACGGCCUACCUGCAGCAGCAGAAUUGCGCGAAACUCGAUGGACGACGGUGGGCGGUGGACGAACGACAGUGGACCUCCAAGACUCGUGACUAGAUUCCACCUUAUGCUCAUCCUACAGUGCGAGACAACUACGACGUCAAAGAAUCGUUCCCUUCACCAGACAACAACAACAGCAAAUGCGCAUUUUUGAAGGUGGAGUCAUGUUCGUGGUCUUCGAAAUUCGGAGUUCCAAACUCCAGUCUCCAGUGACUUACCAGCUCAUUCAGUAUCUAGCAUGAAUUAUAUCUUUCUCCCUGGUGCUUGCAGGUCCCUGUUUUGGCCUCUAGAAGACUGCAUCUUUUUUACAAUUGUGAACUUAUCACUAAUAAGGCGACAAGCAAUUCCUGAUAAGUACUUUGGCGGAGUUACAACUGAAUUUUCUCAAAAUAAGCUUGAUGAGCUCAGAGACUUGUGGAUCAAAUAUGUGGAUGAGUAAAACAAGUGGAUGAAGAAGAAUUGGAAGAUAAUGACCAUUUUAAUUAGGAUGUGUGUAUUUUCUUUUUGAGCGGGAUUAGGGAGGUGCUUGUAUUUUAGUGCACAUGAAUUGGAAGAAACGAUAGGCCUAGGUGUUCUAUUAUUUUUUUAUAACUUAGUUGAAUUUUUGAAAUCUUUUAAACAUUAUUUGUGAUUUUGUAGUGAAUGAUAUUAAAUGAAUGAAAAAGUAUUCCAAUUUUAAAGUCA
This is a long non-coding RNA of Beta vulgaris subsp. vulgaris (sugar beet), 980 nucleotides long. RefSeq lists it as uncharacterized. The record is from RefSeq and is a predicted model, not a curated record. NCBI's taxonomy places the organism in Eukaryota, Viridiplantae, Streptophyta, Magnoliopsida, Caryophyllales, Amaranthaceae. The transcript is spliced from 5 exons.